This 280-nucleotide ribosomal RNA is filed under the name Tetrahymena rostrata. Its description in RNAcentral is "large subunit ribosomal RNA". Lineage: Eukaryota; Ciliophora; Oligohymenophorea; Hymenostomatida; Tetrahymenidae. The record is from RNAcentral.
GUAGUUAAUAAAAAACAGCAUUAGAUGGAUGCCAGGGAUUUAAAUGUUUUCGUAAACACACUUACGUUAUCUAUUUAGUAAAUAAUAUAUUGAUAUGUUUAUUUAUUGGAAAUUAAUAGAUUUAAAUUUAAAAUAAUAAAGCGAAACAUCGUAGUAAUUAUUUUAAUAAACUCAAUUGAGAAUAAUAUAACGGUGAGUUAUUAUUAUUAGUUUUAUUACUUAAAAAAAUUGAAAAUUUUUUUAAAAAUUAUUUUAAAAGGUAAAAAUCCUGUAAAUUUAA